RNAcentral lists this ribosomal RNA (248 nucleotides) under Enterococcus faecalis. Its description in RNAcentral is "partial 23S ribosomal RNA". It matches the Rfam family "Bacterial large subunit ribosomal RNA", at positions 179 to 428 of the family's 2925-position model. The record is from RNAcentral. Lineage: Bacteria; Bacillati; Bacillota; Bacilli; Lactobacillales; Enterococcaceae.
GUAGACGCAGAGAACUGAAACAUCUUAGUACCUGCAGGAAGAGAAAGAAAAUUCGAUUCCCUGAGUAGCGGCGAGCGAAACGGGAAGAGCCCAAACCAACAAGCUUGCUUGUUGGGGUUGUAGGACUUCAAUAUGGUAGUCUGUUAGUAUAGUUGAAGGAUUUGGAAAAUUCCGCUAAAGAGGGUGAAAGCCCCGUAGACGAAAUGCUGACAACACCUAGGAGGAUCCUGAGUACGGCGGAACACGAG